GGAAUUAGUUUAGUGGUAGAAUAGAAGGCUUCCGAUCUUUUGGCGUGGGUUCGAUUCCCACAUUCC
Molecule: transfer RNA, 66 nt
Filed under: human gut metagenome
Rfam family: tRNA
About the family: Transfer RNA (tRNA) molecules are approximately 80 nucleotides in length. Their secondary structure includes four short double-helical elements and three loops (D, anti-codon, and T loops). Further hydrogen bonds mediate the characteristic L-shaped molecular structure. tRNAs have two regions of fundamental functional importance: the anti-codon, which is responsible for specific mRNA codon recognition, and the 3' end, to which the tRNAs corresponding amino acid is attached (by aminoacyl-tRNA synthetases). tRNAs cope with the degeneracy of the genetic code in two manners: having more than one tRNA (with a specific anti-codon) for a particular amino acid; and 'wobble' base-pairing, i.e. permitting non-standard base-pairing at the 3rd anti-codon position.
Source: RNAcentral